RNAcentral lists this ribosomal RNA (408 nucleotides) under uncultured Flavobacteriaceae bacterium. Its description in RNAcentral is "bacterial SSU rRNA". It matches the Rfam family "Bacterial small subunit ribosomal RNA", at positions 506 to 916 of the family's 1533-position model. Lineage: Bacteria; Pseudomonadati; Bacteroidota; Flavobacteriia; Flavobacteriales; Flavobacteriaceae. The record is from RNAcentral.
UGCCAGCCGCCGCGGUAAUACGGAGGGUGUAAGCGUUAUCCGGAAUCAUUGGGUUUAAAGGGUCCGUAGGCGGACUAAUAAGUCAGAGGUGAAAUCCCACAGCUUAACUGUGGAACUGCCUUUGAUACUGUUAGUCUUGAGUUAUAUUGAAGUAGAUGGAAUGUGUAGUGUAGCGGUGAAAUGCUUAGAUAUUACACAGAACACCGAUUGCGAAGGCAGUCUACUAAGUAUAUACUGACGCUGAGGGACGAAAGCGUGGGGAUCAAACAGGAUUAGAUACCCUGGUAGUCCACGCCGUAAACGAUGGAUACUAGCUGUUGGAGAGCGAUCUUCAGUGGCUAAGCAAAAGUGAUAAGUAUCCCACCUGGGGAGUACGUUCGCAAGAAUGAAACUCAAAUGAAUUGGCGG